GAUGAACGCUGGCGGCGUGCCUAAUACAUGCAAGUCGAGCGAACGGACGAGAAGCUUGCUUUUCUGAUGUUAGCGGCGGACGGGUGAGUAACACGUGGAUAACCUACCUAUAAGACUGGGAUAACUUCGGGAAACCGGAGCUAAUACCGGAUAAUAUUUUGAACCGCAUGGUUCAAAAGUGAAAGACGGUCUUGCUGUCACUUAUAGAUGGAUCCGCGCUGCAUUAGCUAGUUGGUAAGGUAACGGCUUACCAAGGCAACGAUGCAUAGCCGACCUGAGAGGGUGAUCGGCCACACUGGAACUGAGACACGGUCCAGACUCCUACGGGAGGCAGCAGUAGGGAAUCUUCCGCAAUGGGCGAAAGCCUGACGGAGCAACGCCGCGUGAGUGAUGAAGGUCUUCGGAUCGUAAAACUCUGUUAUUAGGGAAGAACAUAUGUGUAAGUAACUGUGCACAUCUUGACGGUACCUAAUCAGAAAGCCACGGCUAACUACG
This 495-nucleotide ribosomal RNA is filed under the name uncultured bacterium. RNAcentral's name for it is "partial 16S ribosomal RNA". It matches the Rfam family "Bacterial small subunit ribosomal RNA", at positions 28 to 505 of the family's 1533-position model. The record is from RNAcentral.